UGCAUUUUCCUUACCCAUAAGAUCUGAACAGCGGUCUGAGUGGUUUUGAAAGAAGGAAAAAUAAAAUUGAAACUUACUUUUUGUGUGUGUGACACACAAGC
RNAcentral lists this small nucleolar RNA (101 nucleotides) under Echinops telfairi (small Madagascar hedgehog). RNAcentral describes it as "Small nucleolar RNA SNORA61 (ENSETEG00000026641.1)". Lineage: Eukaryota; Metazoa; Chordata; Mammalia; Afrosoricida; Tenrecidae. The record is from RNAcentral.